This 72-nucleotide transfer RNA is filed under the name Ovis aries (sheep). It matches the Rfam family "tRNA". From Rfam's summary of the family: Transfer RNA (tRNA) molecules are approximately 80 nucleotides in length. The record is from Rfam by way of RNAcentral. Lineage: Eukaryota; Metazoa; Chordata; Mammalia; Artiodactyla; Bovidae.
UCCCUGAUAACUCAGUCAGUAAAGAAUCUGCCUGCAAUGCAGGAGACCCUGGUUUGAUUCCUGGGUUGGGAA